This 207-nucleotide ribosomal RNA is filed under the name uncultured bacterium. Its description in RNAcentral is "partial 16S ribosomal RNA". It matches the Rfam family "Bacterial small subunit ribosomal RNA", at positions 568 to 774 of the family's 1533-position model. The record is from RNAcentral.
UGCGUAGGUGGUAAGGCAAGUCAGGUGUGAAAUCUCCGGGCUCAACCCGGAAAUGGCAUUCGAAACUACCUUGCUAGAGGGUUUGAGGGGGGACUGGAAUACUUGGUGUAGCAGUGAAAUGCGUAGAUAUCAAGUGGAACACCAGUGGCGAAGGCGAGUCCCUGGAAAACUCCUGACACUGAGGCACGAAAGCUAGGGGAGCAAACA